Molecule: non-coding RNA, 348 nt
Organism: Vicia faba (fava bean)
Lineage: Eukaryota; Viridiplantae; Streptophyta; Magnoliopsida; Fabales; Fabaceae
Source: the annotation of a GenBank genome assembly
AAAACUAAAUCAUCUUUUUCCCCUUUUCUCCCCUGUCAACUCCUCACGUGUCACCCUCACUCUGUUCCCAAAAUCAAGGACAUUAUAGUAAAAUUUAUUACAUCAUAUCCUACACCCAAACAUUUCUCACCAUGUUUUUCACUUUCCAUUGGCUACACAAAAUUUAAAAUAUUUUCUUUCUUCCUUUCUUUCUCUUUCCAACAACACACUACAGCUAGAAGCAUCUCCACCACCCAAACCACAACAACAACAACAUUAACAACAAAUAAAAAGUGUUCUGUUUUUCAAACAGAGGUUGGUGUUCUUCUUCUUGUUCUCUUCAUUCAUUUUUCUUUUUCAAAUCAUUAA